Molecule: long non-coding RNA, 469 nt
Organism: Ornithodoros turicata
Lineage: Eukaryota; Metazoa; Arthropoda; Arachnida; Ixodida; Argasidae
Exons: 3
Source: RefSeq, a predicted model, not a curated record
UCAGUGGCGCUUCUGUGGGCGGAUGUUCUGUCGUACAAGCAAUAAGAAAGAUUUCCGCACAGAGUGUGUGACAAGAGCGUCUACUGCAGUCAAUGAAACGCACAAGAAGGCAAGUUUAGAUAGUGCAACUCAUCAACGACAACAGCUACAAUUCCAACUAGACAUGAACCGCCUGGUAGUUAUACCUGUGGUGACACUAUUAUUACUUACUGCACUGCAACCAGUUGCCAUGAGCUCCGCUCCGAACUUCGAAGGUCCGGGUUAUGAAUUCGGCAAGAAAGCAGCAUCGUCUGAUUCUAACAGUAUCCGUGAGUUUAGCGAUGUACCGCAAGGCCUCACCCUGCAGCGCUCUGCAGAUCCACGCAGACAUCCGUUCGUCGCGAUGCACAGAUAAUAACUUGGUUUACAUCCCAUUACUCAUUUUUUGUGCAAGUAGUACUUUGUGCAAAUAAAGGAUGCUGUCAACACA